GUGGCUCAGUAGUAGAGCAUCUGCUUUGCAUGCAGAAGAUCUCAAGUUCAAUCCUCAGCAUCUCCA
Molecule: non-coding RNA, 66 nt
Organism: Podarcis lilfordi (Lilford's wall lizard)
Lineage: Eukaryota; Metazoa; Chordata; Lepidosauria; Squamata; Lacertidae
Source: the annotation of a GenBank genome assembly